ACCCACUAGUCUUACUGCAAUGAUCCCGACCUGGUCCUAGAACUGAAGAACCUGAUAGUUAUAUUUGCAGACACUUUACAGGGUUAUGGCUUCCCUGUGAACAGACUUUUUGACCUUUUGUUUGAGGUUAGAGAUCAGUACAAUGAAACAUUGCUCAAGAAAUGGGCCCUGGUGUUCAGGGAUAUUUUUGAGCAGGACAACUACAGCCCCAUUCCAGUGGAAAAUGAAGAGGAGUAUAAGGCUGUGGUCAGUCGCUUCCCCUUCCAUGAUGCAGAGAUUGAAAAGCAACAAUUUCCAAAGAAGCUGCCCAUGUCCCAGUCAGUGCCU
Sinocyclocheilus grahami is the source of this 327-nucleotide long non-coding RNA. RefSeq lists it as uncharacterized. NCBI's taxonomy places the organism in Eukaryota, Metazoa, Chordata, Actinopteri, Cypriniformes, Cyprinidae. The record is from RefSeq and is a predicted model, not a curated record. The transcript has 4 exons.